This 324-nucleotide ribosomal RNA is filed under the name Triticum aestivum (bread wheat). Its description in RNAcentral is "partial small subunit ribosomal RNA". Lineage: Eukaryota; Viridiplantae; Streptophyta; Magnoliopsida; Poales; Poaceae. The record is from RNAcentral.
AUGAUUUCGUUGCUACAGAGGAGGGACGGGGGUUGGCGACUUUACCUUCAUAUUGCGAUCACAUCUAGUCAUCGCCUUGCAGUACAGGAAGAUGGGAGGCAAGGACUGUAUGGAGAGGAGGAAGCUGGGCACCAACAGGGGACAAUGCCCGACGCCGACGCCCACCACCCAGAUCGGGGAGGGGGAAGAUGGCGGCAGGGUCAUCCCGCAGGUACAACAGGCGGGCUCCGGGGUGGCCGUGUAGGAGGAGGGUGGCGCCCAGGCCUCGCCGGUGAGGAAGAAGAGAGCCGGCUGCUCUCCUCCAUCGGCUGGAUCGAUGGGUGA